RNAcentral lists this ribosomal RNA (253 nucleotides) under uncultured bacterium. Its description in RNAcentral is "partial 16S ribosomal RNA". It matches the Rfam family "Bacterial small subunit ribosomal RNA", at positions 524 to 776 of the family's 1533-position model. The record is from RNAcentral.
UACGGAGGGAGCUAGCGUUGUUCGGAAUUACUGGGCGUAAAGCGCGCGUAGGCGGCUUUGUAAGUUAGAGGUGAAAGCCCGGGGCUCAACCCCGGAAUUGCCUUUAAGACUGCAUCGCUUGAAUCCGGGAGAGGUGAGUGGAAUUCCGAGUGUAGAGGUGAAAUUCGUAGAUAUUCGGAAGAACACCAGUGGCGAAGGCGGCUCACUGGACCGGCAUUGACGCUGAGGAACGAAAGCCAGGGUAGCAAAAGGG